GCAGGAGAUAGACUGGAGUGCUCGCCCUACUCUGUAAGCGCAAACGGGCGUUAUGGUGUGGUCGAAGCCUGAGAGCGCUGUUAAGAUCGCGGGAAAGUCUGGAUUUUCAACUGAGAAGCCUCGUCCCGUAGAGCUGAUCUUAUAGUGAACCAUGCGAGACCCGGAAGGGAGCAGCAUUAAUCUAUAUCUUUAGCGUUUAUGGGGUCGCGAAGUGGAGAAGAAUAUCUGGAUCAACUUUUCAGCAUUUUGGCAGUCAUUAAAGGCGCUCUCCUGC
RNAcentral lists this signal recognition particle RNA (274 nucleotides) under Nanobdellota archaeon. RNAcentral's name for it is "signal recognition particle sRNA". It matches the Rfam family "Archaeal signal recognition particle RNA". Lineage: Archaea; Nanobdellati; Nanobdellota. The record is from RNAcentral.